AGUCCUAAUUCCCCCUACCCCAAAAUAAACUUUCCUUAUAUCAGGUGUGUCGCAUGGCAUGAUUUCUCAGGCGGACACCUUGGCAUGGCCCCACCAGGAAAGGCUUUCCGGAAACGGCUUGAGUCACUUAACAGAGAAAACCGUUUUAUCGCUGCUGCAUCCAGGAUGCCGGAGGAUUCUUUCAUUUUGAAGGCUGGGCGUUGAUUUGAGGAUGAGACUGGUGGGGGCUGGGAGGCUGGCGGUACUGUUGGGAGUCGGAGCUGGGUUGCGCUGCUGCUUUCCCAAAGCUCUGGGCACUGUGAUUGCUCCCAGUGGGACUUACAUUUCAGGGAAGC
Molecule: long non-coding RNA, 335 nt
Filed under: Rattus norvegicus (Norway rat)
Lineage: Eukaryota; Metazoa; Chordata; Mammalia; Rodentia; Muridae
Description: long non-coding RNA NONRATT001642
Source: RNAcentral